CCGCUGCCCAGGCCCGGCUCCGCGCUCACACCCGGCACCGCCGAUUGCGCCGCUGCUGACCGGGCGGCGUCGCAGCCUUCUCUGACGUCAGCACGCCGCGGCGGGCCCCGCCCCUCGCCUUCUUCGGGGCGGGGCUGGCUGGGCCCGGGGUGGCGGGACGUGGGGCAGGAUGUGCCCCUGGGCCUGCGGGUCGGGGCCCGUCGUUCAGGCAGCUCCAGGCACGUGGGACGGAGGUGGCUGAGUUUGUCCUCACCGGAUGAUUUUCAGUGAGCUCAGAUGGAGAGACAUGAUGGACCUGCCUGGAGUAUUUGGGCACUCACAUGGAAGGGGAAUGUCUCUUGAACUUUCUACUGAUAUUUCGUCUCCUGUGCAGAUUCUUUGGAUAUUCUACAUAUACAGGCCUACCUUCUUCUUCAGGUUUCAAAGCCUCAAGUUGUCUUGAAUUCUCAAUCAGACUUUGCUGUUUCAGAUAUUAAGAUUUCAAAUAAUGUGAACAACUACAAAACACCUAAGCCAAUCCUUACCCCCUAACAAAACAAAGAAAAAAAAACCGUUUCAACUUAAAAAGGUAUUCAGGAAAUAAGUUUUAAUUCUUAUAUUUAGGUUAAAUAUCUAAGAGCUUUGAUUUAAGGUCUACUGAAUAAACAAUUUGAAGAGUUGAAUGGCUUUUUAAAAUGAGCUUCGGUUUAAGGCAAUAUUUAGAACUUUAAUUCAUGUUUUUCAAGCAGCAAUUCACAUAAGGCUCUACUAAAGCAAUCUGGCUACAAACUAUAAAAACACUUUUUAAGCAAAUUCCAAAAGAUUUAUUUUUUGUUAGUAUGAUUUCAAAUAUGCAAAAAGAAAAGAUAGUUAUUUGCUUUGUUUAAUAAAAGAUUCUUUGUGCCUGAA
Molecule: long non-coding RNA, 888 nt
Organism: Suricata suricatta (meerkat)
Lineage: Eukaryota; Metazoa; Chordata; Mammalia; Carnivora; Herpestidae
Exons: 5
Source: RefSeq, a predicted model, not a curated record